This 459-nucleotide ribosomal RNA is filed under the name uncultured bacterium. RNAcentral's name for it is "partial 16S ribosomal RNA". It matches the Rfam family "Bacterial small subunit ribosomal RNA", at positions 338 to 795 of the family's 1533-position model. The record is from RNAcentral.
CCUACGCGCGGCAGCAGUGAGGAAUAUUGGUCAAUGGCCGGGAGGCUGAACCAGCCAAGUCGCGUGAGGGAAGACGGCCCUACGGGUUGUAAACCUCUUUUGUCAGGGAGCAAGGUGCAGGUCGGGACCUGCUGUGAGAGUACCUGAAGAAAAAGCAUCGGCUAACUCCGUGCCAGCAGCCGCGGUAAUACGGAGGAUGCGAGCGUUAUCCGGAUUUAUUGGGUUUACAGGGUGCGCAGGCGGAGGCACAAGUCAGCGGUAAAAUCGCGGGGCUCAACCCCGGUCCGCCGUUGAAACUGUGGCCCUUGAGUGCGCGAAGGGUAGGCGGAAUGCGUGGUGUAGCGGUGAAAUGCAUAGAUAUCACGCAGAACUCCGAUCGCGAAGGCAGCCUACCGGCGCGCAACUGACGCUCAUGCACGAAAGCGUGGGUAUCGAACAGGAUUAGAUACCCCAGUAGUC